This 468-nucleotide ribosomal RNA is filed under the name uncultured bacterium. RNAcentral's name for it is "partial 16S ribosomal RNA". It matches the Rfam family "Bacterial small subunit ribosomal RNA", at positions 28 to 507 of the family's 1533-position model. The record is from RNAcentral.
GACGAACGCUGGCGGCGUGCUUAACACAUGCAAGUCGAACGGAAAGGCCCUGCUUUUGUGGGUUGCUGGGGGGGCAAACGGUGGGGUAACACGUGGUUAACCUGCCCUGAACUUUGGAUUACCUUCAGAAAACGGGGGUGAUUCCCGUAUAGGAUCUCCUCCUGAAUGGGGGGGUUUGGAAAUUUUCGGCGGUUGGGGAUGGACUGGCGGCUUAUCAGCUUGUUGGUGGGGUAGUGGCUUACCAAGGCUUUGCCGGGUAGCCGGCCUGAGAGGGUGACCGGCCACAUUGGGACUGAGAUACGGCCCAGACUCCUACGGGAGGCAGCAGUGGGGAAUAUUGCACGAUGGGCGGAAGCCUGAUGCAGCAACGCCGCGUGCGGGAUGACGGCCUUCGGGUUGUAAACCGCUUUCGCCUGUGACGAAGCGUGAGUGACGGUAAUGGGUAAAGAAGCACCGGCUAACUACGUG